Molecule: ribosomal RNA, 459 nt
Filed under: Curvularia kusanoi
Lineage: Eukaryota; Fungi; Ascomycota; Dothideomycetes; Pleosporales; Pleosporaceae
Description: eukaryotic LSU rRNA
Rfam family: 5.8S ribosomal RNA (bases 112-270)
Source: RNAcentral
CCUCUCCAAGCCCGCCCCCCGAGCACCCCACGCCCCCACGGCGGGCCCGCCCACCGACGGACAACCCAAACCCCCGCAGUCGAUCCAGCGCCCGAGAGGCUCAAUAGUUACAACUCUCAACACCGGAUCUCUUGUUUCUGGCAUCAAUAAGAACGCCACCAAAUGCUAUUAGUUGGUGUUGACUUGGGGAAUUCAGUGAAUUAUCAAAUCCUUUGUACUCACAUUGCGCCCGCUUGUUAUUCCUAUGGUGGCAUGUUUGUUCGAGCGUCAUUUGUACCUUCAAGCUCUGCUUGGUGUUGGGUGUUUGUCUCCUGUAGACUCGCCUUAAAACAAUUGGCAGCCGGCGUAUUGAUUUCGGAGCGCAGUACAUCUCGCGCUUUGCACUCAUAACGACUACGUCCUAAAGUACAUUUUUACACUCUUGACCUCGCAUCACGUAGGGAUACCCGCUGAACUUAA